Coprobacillus sp. CAG:183 is the source of this 252-nucleotide non-coding RNA. NCBI's taxonomy places the organism in Bacteria, Bacillati, Bacillota, Erysipelotrichia, Erysipelotrichales, Coprobacillaceae. The record is from Rfam.
UUAAAUACUUUGAUAGGAACUAGUAAAUAAAUUUAUCGAGCAUAGAGAGAUUCUGGGUGGUGAAAAGAAUUGUUGAUGAUUUGUUGAACUCAUCCUUGAGUGGAGCGCUGAAUCAAGUAGGUGGCUACGGAGUGCAACCGUUAUCUAGCAAAAGUAUGAACUAUAUAUAAUAGCGUACUUGGUGAGAUUAAUAUCGUGAGGUAUUAAUAAAUUGAGGUGGAACCACGGGGUUACUAUACUCUCGUCCUCAAA